CCUUGCUUGCAGGUAAGCGGUUAGUGGCGGACUGGUGAGUAACACGUAAGAAAUCUGCCUAUCAGAGGGGAAUAACAGUGAGAAAUCACUGCUAAUACCGCAUAUGCCAUAAUUAUCGCAUGAUAGUAGUGGGAAAGAAGUAAUUCGCUGAUAGAUGAGCUUGCGGCUGAUUAGCUAGUUGGUGGGGUAAAGGCCUACCAAGGCGACGAUCAGUAGCCGGACUGAGAGGUUGAACGGCCACAUUGGGACUGAGAUACGGCCCAGACUCCUACGGGAGGCAGCAGUCGGGAAUAUUGCGCAAUGGAGGCAACUCUGACGCAGUAACGCCGCGUAUAGGAAGAAGGUUUUCGGAUUGUAAACUAUUGUCCACAGGGAAGAAAAGGACUGUACCUGUGAAGAAAGCUCCGGCUAACUACGUGCCAGCAGCCGCGGUAAUACGUAGGGAGCAAGCGUUAUCCGGAAUUAUUGGGUGUGAAGGGUGCGUAGACGGGAUAACAAGUUGGUUGUGAAAACCCUCGGCUCAACUGAGGACUUGCAACUAAAACUAUUAUUCUUGAGUGCAGGAGGGGAAAGUGGAAUUCCUAGUGUAGCGGUGAAAUGCGUAGAUAUUAGGAAGAACACCAGUGGCGAAGGCGACUUUCUGGACUGUAACUGACGUUGAGGCACGAAAGUGUGGGGAGCAAACAGGAUUAGAUACCCUGGUAGUCCACACUGUAAACGAUGGAUACUAGGUGUAGGAGGUAUUAAGCCUUCUGUGCCGUCGCAAACGCAGUAAGUA
RNAcentral lists this ribosomal RNA (778 nucleotides) under uncultured bacterium. Its description in RNAcentral is "bacterial SSU rRNA". It matches the Rfam family "Bacterial small subunit ribosomal RNA", at positions 72 to 866 of the family's 1533-position model. The record is from RNAcentral.